ACAGAAGACGAAGAGCUGGAAUAGAGCUCGCCUCGGCUCUGCUGGCCUUGGCUGCAGCUCUUCCAGAAACCCGGGGCGCCCACAGAAGAAUCUCUUACCUGGCUCUCUCUUCAGGGAUGACAUCAUCGGCUCACACCAGUCUUCCAGGACCACCUUCUGGAUGCCAAGGCUGCUGCUCGAGUACCUGCUGUGCACCUCUACCUCCUGAGCCAAGGAGCACGGAUUCCAGGAACCCACUACCAUACAGAGCAACUCCUUGUGGACCCCCCUGGGAUCAGGACAGCGAGGGACAAGCGACAAAGAGGAUCAUCAGUGGCCAGCUAGUUUCUCUGGGGUUCAAACCUUGAACCAGUGCCCUAGUGAGGGGGCACUGGCCAUGGCCCUUGACCUUUGCUCUGCUUGUGUCUUGAGUCUGAGCCCUUUCCUGUACAUCUGUGCUCGUGUUCAUCUGCUAGUGAACUGGAGUGCUGCCCUCCCCGAGGAGGGUCGUCCCUUGUGACUGAUCAUGCUGUCCUAACAAUGUCCUGAGCAAAAGGGUCCCUUUGGGAACCUCUCAGGAGGGGGACCCGGGUCAGGGGCGACCAGCAUCUUGCUGGCAACUCCGUGGGUGGGGUGGGGUGGGGUGCUUCCUUCUGGAAUGAGCACGUGGCUGACCCCCCAAGGCAUGUCCCCUCCCCCUCCUCCACCCACCUUCUCGGAGAUGUCCCUUUUGGGGUAGUGGGGACAUUAGGAGCAACCUCCUAGGGUUGUUGUGAGAAUUAAAUGAACUGCAGCAGCCUGAGGCAGGGCUGGGCAGAGACCUCAGCACAUGUUUGUUGAAAGGUUUGCAGGUGGAUCUAGUCCUCCCGUUCAUGGCUCAUGUGUCUCAACCAUUCUCUCGCAGACUCCUGCAGCCCCUAUGCCCAGGGCUCUCCUUGCGCCAGCCCCGGCUUCUCGAGGCCUGUCUACACUCGCUGCUUUCCUUCCUCACCUCCAAUUUCCCCUCCAACCCACUGCUUCCUGACUCGCUCUUCUCCAUCGAACGGCUCUCGCUCAGGCCUGUCGCGUCUUCCUGUGCCAUUUGCUGUUGUGCUCAGGUUCCACGAGCUGCCCAUCUCCACAGAAGAGCAGGUGAGGCCGCUGCCUGUCUUCAUGCGUCUGGCAUUGCCCACCGGCCAUGCCGGCUGAAGAAAAGAAGACUGAGGACCCCAGGAUGCCCAGCGCGAGGACCCCAGGAAGCCCAGCGCGAGGACUCCACCCACGACGCCCAGCGCGAGGACUUCACGCACAACACGUUGCAACCCUCCUGGAUUAGGCCAAAGCCAUCAUCUGGAAUCCUGCGUGGGACCCUGGACACACGGACACAGACACCUGCCCCCAGGACCCUCCAACUGUAAAUCCCUCUACAGCCACGGGGACGCCUUGCACAUUUCCUGUGGGACAUGCUGGACCCAAGACUCUGGACCCUGGCCUCCCCUUGAGUAGAGAGACCCACCUACUGACUGAUGAACUGCGCUGACCCUGGGGUCAGGCAUGUGGCCUUGAUCCCUACCCAUGGACCCUGAGACUUGGGGGGGUGGGAGAAAGGCUGUUGUGUCUUCACUGUUGAGUCUACAUCUGUGAAAUGGGCUCAGGUUCCUACCUCACAGGGCUGUUGUGAGGCAGCCGCAAUGUGCUUAGAAGCAUGGGGCCUAGUGGCUCAUGGUGCUUUCAAUAAAUUUCUUGUUUUAACUAAAGCA
This 1718-nucleotide long non-coding RNA is filed under the name Mus musculus (house mouse). RNAcentral's name for it is "maternally expressed 3". The stretch from base 520 to 621 matches the Rfam family "Maternally expressed 3 conserved region 2". Lineage: Eukaryota; Metazoa; Chordata; Mammalia; Rodentia; Muridae. The record is from RNAcentral.